AUCAAUUGAAUAGUUGGAUAUUAAAUAUUAUUCUAAGAACUUUUAAUUAAAUAGAUCCCAUAAAAAAAACAUAAAAUCUACCCUUGGCCAAAACGAUUCUACACAUAAUAUUUUUACUAAACACACAUUAUAUUUCUGGAAGUAAUGUACGGUUGAAACCAUCUUAUUCCGGUCCUACAAACAUUACAAAUUCUUAAACAUUAGGAUGAGAGAAACCCCAUCUUAGUAUCUACAAAAAGUUUUAAAAAAAACACAAAACUGAGUGUAAUUUGUAAUCCUAAAUGAAAUGCAACGAAGAACUGCUACUACAGAAAACCACUUACCAUGUAAAAACCUACCAUAUACUAUGGAGUGACACCAAUUGGUACUUGAGAAUCAGUUUCGAUGAAUCCCUAACUAAAAGUCAACAAAACAAAACUCUAUUUUCCAGAGACCUGUAUAGAGAGUUAACUGAUAAAAAUUGGACAGAGUGCUCAAUGGAAUUAAAGUUCAAAAGAGAGGUAGUAAUA
Molecule: long non-coding RNA, 509 nt
Filed under: Lathyrus oleraceus (garden pea)
Lineage: Eukaryota; Viridiplantae; Streptophyta; Magnoliopsida; Fabales; Fabaceae
Description: Pisum sativum (pea) long non-coding RNA (PSAT_LNC018768)
Source: RNAcentral